GAUGAACGCUGGCGGCGUGCCUAAUACAGGCAAGUCGAGCGAACGGACGAGAAGCUUGCUUCUCUGAUGUUAGCGGCGGACGGGUGAGUAACACGUGGAUAACCUACCUAUAAGACUGGGAUAACUUCGGGAAACCGGAGCUAAUACCGGAUAAUAUUUUGAACCGCAUGGUUCAAAAGUGAAAGACGGUCUUGCUGUCACUUAUAGAUGGAUCCGCGCUGCAUUAGCUAGUUGGUAAGGUAACGGCUUACCAAGGCAACGAUGCAUAGCCGACCUGAGAGGGUGAUCGGCCACACUGGAACUGAGACACGGUCCAGACUCCUACGGGAGGCAGCAGUAGGGAAUCUUCCGCAAUGGGCGAAAGCCUGACGGAGCAACGCCGCGUGAGUGAUGAAGGUCUUCGGAUCGUAAAACUCUGUUAUUAGGGAAGAACAUAUGUGUAAGUAACUGUGCACAUCUUGACGGUACCUAAUCAGAAAGCCACGGCUAACUACGUGCCAGCAGCCGCGGUAAUACGUAGGUGGCAAGCGUUAUCCGGAAUUAUUGGGCGUAAAGCGCGCGUAGGCGGUUUUUUAAGUCUGAUGUGAAAGCCCACGGCUCAACCGUGGAGGGUCAUUGGAAACUGGAAAACUUGAGUGCAGAAGAGGAAAGUGGAAUUCCAUGUGUAGCGGUGAAAUGCGCAGAGAUAUGGAGGAACACCAGUGGCGAAGGCGACUUUCUGGUCUGUAACUGACGCUGAUGUGCGAAAGCGUGGGGAUCAAACAGGAUUAGAUACCCUGGUAGUCCACGCCGUAAACGAUGAGUGCUAAGUGUUAGGGGGUUUCCGCCCCUUAGUGCUGCAGCUAACGCAUUAAGCACUCCGCCUGGGGAGUACGACCGCAAGGUUGAAACUCAAAGGAAUUGACGGGGACCCGCACAAGCGGUGGAGCAUGUGGUUUAAUUCGAAGCAACGCGAAGAACCUUACCAAAUCUUGACAUCCUUUGACAACUCUAGAGAUAGAGCUUUCCCCUUCGGGGGACAAAGUGACAGGUGGUGCAUGGUUGUCGUCAGCUCGUGUCGUGAGAUGUUGGGUUAAGUCCCGCAACGAGCGCAACCCUUAAGCUUAGUUGCCAUCAUUAAGUUGGGCACUCUAAGUUGACUGCCGGUGACAAACCGGAGGAAGGUGGGGAUGACGUCAAAUCAUCAUGCCCCUUAUGAUUUGGGCUACACACGUGCUACAAUGGACAAUACAAAGGGCAGCGAAACCGCGAGGUCAAGCAAAUCCCAUAAAGUUGUUCUCAGUUCGGAUUGUAGUCUGCAACUCGACUACAUGAAGCUGGAAUCACUAGUAAUCGUAGAUCAGCAUGCUACGGUGAAUACGUUCCCGGGUCU
RNAcentral lists this ribosomal RNA (1372 nucleotides) under uncultured bacterium. Its description in RNAcentral is "bacterial SSU rRNA". It matches the Rfam family "Bacterial small subunit ribosomal RNA", at positions 28 to 1381 of the family's 1533-position model. The record is from RNAcentral.